AUUAGUUUGAUCCUGGCUCAGGUUGAACGCUGGCGGCAUGCCUUACACAUGCAAGUCGAACGGCAGCAUGAUCUAGCUUGCUAGAUUGAUGGCGAGUGGCGAACGGGUGAGUAAUACAUCGGAACGUGCCCUGUAGUGGGGGAUAACUAGUCGAAAGAUUAGCUAAUACCGCAUACGACCUGAGGGUGAAAGUGGGGGACCGCAAGGCCUCAUGCUAUAGGAGCGGCCGAUGUCUGAUUAGCUAGUUGGUGAGGUAAAGGCUCACCAAGGCGACGAUCAGUAGCUGGUCUGAGAGGACGAUCAGCCACACUGGGACUGAGACACGGCCCAGACUCCUACGGGAGGCAGCAGUGGGGAAUUUUGGACAAUGGGGGCAACCCUGAUCCAGCAAUGCCGCGUGUGUGAAGAAGGCCUUCGGGUUGUAAAGCACUUUUGUCCGGAAAGAAAUCGCACUUACUAAUAUUAGGUGUGGAUGACGGUACCGGAAGAAUAAGGACCGGCUAACUACGUGCCAGCAGCCGCGGUAAUA
RNAcentral lists this ribosomal RNA (529 nucleotides) under uncultured Ralstonia sp. Its description in RNAcentral is "bacterial SSU rRNA". It matches the Rfam family "Bacterial small subunit ribosomal RNA", at positions 1 to 525 of the family's 1533-position model. The record is from RNAcentral. Lineage: Bacteria; Pseudomonadati; Pseudomonadota; Betaproteobacteria; Burkholderiales; Burkholderiaceae.